Felis catus (domestic cat) is the source of this 887-nucleotide long non-coding RNA. RefSeq lists it as uncharacterized. The record is from RefSeq and is a predicted model, not a curated record. The transcript has 4 exons. Lineage: Eukaryota; Metazoa; Chordata; Mammalia; Carnivora; Felidae.
CAGAAAUGCUGAAAUUGUCCUUCAGAGGAAGCAUUCACUUGAAACAACAAAAGAUUAGAGAAACCUGAAAAAUGUUGGAUUUUCUUUACCUUUUGAAGAAGGCCAGCUGGAACCUUCUGAAAUUAUUCCUAUUACAGUAUGCAGCCACAAACAGGACGGAUGGCCCAGGACUUCUUCAAGGUCUGCUCAUUCCAUUGUAUGAGGAAGGCCAAGAUGGCUGCACAACUGCGACUGAUGCCCGGGGUGGAAAGGAUCAGGAUGACAGAGCCAAGCUGGAGAGGACGGAGCGAAGCAUGGGAGGAUGUUUGGGAAGGGCUGUAUCUGCAAGAUGGUUCACUGGAUGAGACAAUCUGAGGGCAGGCCAAAUACGACACAACUUUCUUCACAAAAAGAUGCAGAAGUUGAGGGAGAGAAAACAAAGCACCUUCAUGGAGAAUCAGUCAUGCAACAGAACCAAGAGCUCCGAAUGUCCUGGCUUCCAGUUCUCGGCUCUGGCAGGGACACUGGGCUCCCUUUUCUCCUCAUGGGAACAACUGCUGACACUUGGGCUUUAGACUUUCACUUACAGGGCUGAUGAAAAAAAUUACCAUUUGCUGCGAAGGCAGUGAAAUGCUGACUUCUCACCCUUUGGUCAAGGCAACUUCCUUGAAAGUGCUUUAAAGCAGAUUGAUGGAGUCCAGAUCCAGCCAUUUUGUCUCCAUUGCAAUGGUGGCUCAUCCACAAAUAACCGCCUCCCCUUCGCCCCCACGAAAAGGGCAAAACCAAUGGCUAUCCUGAGUUCUCUGUUUCUUCGAUUGAAUUGAUCCUUCUUUAAAAUGCUUAUUGAAUUUUUGGCCAAUUUAAUUAAAAGAGGUAAAAGAGUAAACUUCUCCUGUGGAAGAAUUGUA